GGUCAGGCGGGACUACCCGCUGAAUUU
This 27-nucleotide ribosomal RNA is filed under the name Myosotis drucei. Its description in RNAcentral is "partial 28S ribosomal RNA". Lineage: Eukaryota; Viridiplantae; Streptophyta; Magnoliopsida; Boraginales; Boraginaceae. The record is from RNAcentral.